CUCAAAUACAGGGCUUAAGACAACACACAUUUUAUUAUGUCAUGGUUUCUGUGGACCAGGAAUCUGAGCACUGCUUAGCUGUUUUAGGGUAUCAAAAGGCCACAAUCAAGGUAACAACUGGGGCUGUUGCCUUAUCUUGGGCCUGACUGGGAAAGGACCUGCUUCCAAGCUCAUGUAGUUGUUGGAAGUAUUCUAUUUGCUCCAGAUUGUUGCACUAAGGGACUCGGUAUGUUGCUGGCCAUUAACCAGGUGCUGCCCUCAGUAGCUUGCCACUUAGCUCCCCUCUUGGCCAGCCCACAGCAUGAUAGCUUGCUUCUCUAAAGCUAACAAGGAGAGUUUCCUAGAAAAAUGGCAACAGUAUUACAUAAUAUUGUCACAUAUAUGUUUUUAUGUACAUUCUCUUGCAUUUGCUGUAUUCCAUUGGUGAGAAGCAAGUCACAGGUCCCAUCAAUACUCAAGGGGAAGGAGUGAUACAAAGCAUGGCCACAACGAAGUUGGGAUCAAGGGGACUACUGUGGAGUCUAUCUGCCACAAUUGGAAAAUUACAAAAGACCUAGGAUCAACCAGGUAGAAGAAUUAGAAAAGUAUCAUAAAGGCAGAAUCAUCAAAACUUGUCUGGCAUGGAGGAAAAAUAAGACAGAAGCCAUGUAGGAGUCUACAAUUUCAAUUGGAUUUGACAAAUUACAUAGGCAUGCUGAAGGAAUUUGCAUUUACUUGUGGAUAGGUAAAUCAUGGACCAUGACAGAACACUUUGGUAAAUUAUAUUAUUUACUUAUCAAAUCAUCUAUGCCACUAUACCCCUCCUCUGUGUUUUGAAGGUAAUGAAUAUUAAUUUGAAAUAGAAAAAACUGUGUGGUUGUUUAGGAUAUUUUAGAAAAAUUGUCAAGUAUUGAAUGUAAUGCAAAUUCAUAACUUAUAUUUCUCACCAGAAGUAGUUGUUUUAUCAGAUGAGUAUUAUUUCAUUAUUAUUUCAUUUCCAGAGCAACAGGGCCUUUUGAAUUUUUC
Molecule: long non-coding RNA, 1005 nt
Filed under: Vulpes vulpes (red fox)
Lineage: Eukaryota; Metazoa; Chordata; Mammalia; Carnivora; Canidae
Description: lncRNA (ENSVVUG00000021781.1)
Source: RNAcentral